This 76-nucleotide transfer RNA is filed under the name Sphingobacterium sp. 21. RNAcentral's name for it is "tRNA-Lys (CTT) (tRNA-Lys-CTT-1-1)". It matches the Rfam family "tRNA". From Rfam's summary of the family: Transfer RNA (tRNA) molecules are approximately 80 nucleotides in length. Their secondary structure includes four short double-helical elements and three loops (D, anti-codon, and T loops). Lineage: Bacteria; Pseudomonadati; Bacteroidota; Sphingobacteriia; Sphingobacteriales; Sphingobacteriaceae. The record is from RNAcentral. RNAcentral also lists the same sequence under 9 other names.
GACUCCGUAGCUCAGUUGGUAGAGCAACUGACUCUUAAUCAGUGGGUCGAGAGUUCGAAUCUCUCCGGGGUCACCA